UAUUUUUGCUGUGCCUGAGUGCGAAUUAUGGAGGGUUCCCCCUAAAUGAUAUCUAAGAAAAAGGUUAUUCGAUAUAAUUUAUCACAAUACGCUAGCGAACAGAAUGUAGUAACCAGCAAGAGCUGCUUAGAAAGUAGGCCUACAUCUACAAAACCCUAAAAUCACGUUUUUAUAGAUUUACAUAGCAACGAAAUAUAGGCUACAUUAAAAAAGUUAGUGUUUUGUUUAAAAUAUUUAAUAACUAAGCCAGGGUACCAUAACUUCAACCCACAAGAAAAAAAUACUUAAUAGUAAUUAAUAGUAAAUACUAUACUGUUUUUGAGCCAUACUAUAUUAAAGUAGGCUACUUGAAUUAAUUUGUUGUGGUAAUUCUAUAGUCGCUGUGAUAAUAUAACAACUAUAGUAGCCUAAUAUAAACAAAUUACCCAAUACUGUACUAAGUUUUCUACAACUAUAGGGUAUAUUAUACUACAAUACACAGUUUACUGCAGUAAAAACUAACGUAAACUACAGUAUUUAUUACAGUUUAUCAGUUCACUAUAGUAUGCUGUAGCAUUCAUUAACAAAGUGUUGUAAAUACUAUAACAUAUACAAUUUACUAUAGUAUGGUUCAAAAACACUAUAGUAUUUACUAUAAAUUACUAGUAUUUUUUCAUAAAAUAAUUAAACACUGUAAAAGGCUGUGAUCUAAAAAGCAAAAUGUCUAUAAUAGAUCUUUUCAGUCAACUCUGCAAAUUUUAAGUGCGUUUUUAUUUUCUAAUAGUACUUAAUAAACAAUUAAUUGACAUAACGCGCUACAAUCGUAGGCUACGUGUGGCGUCAGCACGUUGAAAGCGAUUGCUGCUGAACGUUGCUAGGAAACCAACAAGCCGUCCAAAAAGGACGUAGUGUUGUCCGGUGUGGAUUGGACAUAUCUGCAGAACAACAGAACUUGGCCAGCUUGUGGUGUAACAUGUCAGCAAUGCACUGGGAGGCCCGCCGCCGUCAACAAGUGCUGGAUCGCAGAUUAUCUGCCUCGGUUAAGCAGGAAGAUAAGCAAGGUAAAAAGAAAGAGCAUUCUGAGGCACAUAUGACACCCUGUAAACCUGCAGGGUCUCUAGGUAAAGCAGCUCAUAAUAACAGAUCAAACAUAAGUACACUCAACAAUUCUCCAUUGUUUGCAUGCCAUUAAGAACAAAAAGUCACUGCUUUAGAGGUGACUGAAUUUGAAUGAUCAAAAUACAAAAUUAACUACGACAUACGAUACAUGGAAUCUUAAUGCAGUCAGUGUAAACAUAUUUGUUUUCUUCAGAGGUUGAUGAGCAAUGCAGUUGCAAGUGUCAUGCCAAGAUGAAAAGAUACACGGUGAGUACUGCAAACUUGUUUAUCCUGUUCCGAUAUAAUGUAGCAGUCAGAUUCAACAGAUCCUGUGGUUAGAUAUUAUCUAUUUAUAUUUUUUACCUUUACAUAAAGACAAUUUGGCUUUAGAACCAUUUUAUUUUGUCCAGCCCUUGUAUGUGUAUAAUUUCACAGUGAUUAUUUAAAGAAUUUAUAAGGUGGAAAUGAUCCAGAAAAUAGCAGCAUCAACAUAAGAUGUGUGCAUGAUUUGUUUCAGUCCUUGCAGUAUUCCCAGCAAUGGUGAAGAUGAAGGCCAGACUUCUGGACAGUAUCAACUCCACAUAUUAAGGUGUAUUUUAUAGGAGACCAGACUUUAUUCUUCUUUCAUAAUGCUAAUUAAAACAGAACUAGGUGUUUAACAAUUCUGAUUAGAUGCAUAAUUUGCUCAAGAAUUUACAACAAAUAAAAUUACAAUUUAAUGUGCAAAUUCGUGUUGUGCAAAUUUUAAAACAUGUUUAUAUUAUGUAAACACUAAUAAAUCAAUGAGCAAGAAAA
Long non-coding RNA from Ctenopharyngodon idella (grass carp), 1872 nucleotides. RefSeq lists it as uncharacterized. NCBI's taxonomy places the organism in Eukaryota, Metazoa, Chordata, Actinopteri, Cypriniformes, Xenocyprididae. The record is from RefSeq and is a predicted model, not a curated record. The transcript is spliced from 3 exons.